RNAcentral lists this small RNA (1016 nucleotides) under Histoplasma capsulatum var. duboisii H88. RNAcentral's name for it is "Histoplasma capsulatum H88 hypothetical RNA". The record is from RNAcentral. Lineage: Eukaryota; Fungi; Ascomycota; Eurotiomycetes; Onygenales; Ajellomycetaceae.
CUCCGAUUUCAUGAUUUCAGCUCUCCUGGAACGUUGACAUAUAAUAGUCGCGACAAAUACAAAAACGUAUGCAAAGCAAAAUACAACAAGAAACAGGCCCUCUUUUCAUGAACCACGAUUAGCAAGCCACUCUGCAACGUCCUCAUCGAGGUCUGGUUCAUACAGCCACCUUAAUUGGCCGCCUUCUCCCGUGGUUGCUGAAUCGUCAGCCCAGACUGAACCUGGUGGAAGCUUGGCUUGUUCUGCAGGGGGCAGACGCUUGGCAUUCAUCUUCUGAGUAAGAUCCAGGAUUUUAUCGAUCCGGCGCUGGCGGUAUUGCUGCCAAAAUUUCAAAGCCUCCCCGAGGGAUGUCUUUUGGGACAGAUUUGAGAGCAGUAAAGCCAGCAUAUUCACAUCUUCGAACGCUUGAUUGACUCCCUGACCGGCUGUGGGCGGGAUUGCAUGUGCAGCAUCGCCCAGCACAAUAACCCUAUCAGUGGAGCUGGCCCACUUGCUGAACUUUGGGAUCCCGUAGAAUGGCCAGAUACCCAUGUUCUCAACAGGUGCAUUUUCGAGUGCAGAUUGGACAAUGUCGGGCCAGUCGCCCUGAUUCUCUCGCAGCAUGUCCAAUAGCCCUUGCUUGUCGGCUGCCAGAGCAUCCCAACCAUCCUUAUCCUUCUCGGGAAAACGUCGCUGUGAACCAAUUAGGAGCUGAGAGCCGUCAAUCUCUUGGGGGACCAUCAAAAACGCGCCAACUUUGGACAAAAUCUGCGCAGGGAGAUAGAAGUUCUCAGGAAUGCGAAGGCUGGACCGGGGACAGACACUACUAAUAGCCAUCAUACCAGAAUAAACCGGUUUCACGUCUGGAACAAUAUGGUUGCGGACAGUUGAAUGGAUACCAUCAGCACCAAUCACUAUAGCGGAAGUUUUGACCGAUCCGUCGGCAAACUCAAUCACGACUUCGUCUUGCGAAUCACGGAUGACUUUCGAGAAUUGCUUGUUGAAAUCCGUACAGCUUCUCGGAACCAAAAUAGUAG